Molecule: small RNA, 1927 nt
Filed under: Pongo abelii (Sumatran orangutan)
Lineage: Eukaryota; Metazoa; Chordata; Mammalia; Primates; Hominidae
Description: processed transcript
Source: RNAcentral
CGCCUGCCAGCCGGCUUGGCUAGCGCGCGGCGGCCGUGGCUAAGGCUGCUACGACGCGAGCUUGGGAGGAGCAGCGGCCUGCGGGGCAGAGGAGCAUCCCGUCGACCCGGUCCCAGGCGGCGUGGCCCGCCGGUCAUGGCCAAAGGAGAAGGCGCCGAGAGCGGCUCCGCGGCGGGGCUGCUGCCCACCAGCAUCCUCCAAACCACUGAACGCCCGGCCCAGGUGAAGAAAGAACCGAAAAAGAAGAAACAACAGUUGUCUGUUUGCAACAAGCUUUGCUAUGCACUUGGGGGAGCCCCCUACCAGGUGACGGGCUGUGCCCUGGGUUUCUUCCUUCAGAUCUACCUAUUGGAUGUGGCUCAGGUGGGCCCUUUCUCUGCCUCCAUCAUCCUGUUUGUGGGCCGAGCCUGGGAUGCCAUCACAGACCCCCUGGUGGGCCUCUGCAUCAGCAAAUCCCCCUGGACCUGCCUGGGUCGCCUUAUGCCCUGGAUCAUCUUCUCCACACCCCUGGCCGUCAUUGCCUACUUCCUUAUCUGGUUCGUGCCUGACUUCCCAGACGGCCAGACCUAUUGGUACCUGCUUUUCUAUUGCCUCUUUGAGACGAUGGUCACGUGUUUCCAUGUUCCCUACUCGGCUCUCACCAUGUUCAUCAGCACCGAGCAGACUGAGCGGGAUUCUGCCACCGCCUAUCGGAUGACUGUGGAAGUGCUGGGCACAGUGCUGGGUACGGCGAUCCAGGGGCAAAUCGUGGGCCAAGCAGACACGCCUUGUUUCCAGGACCUCAAUAGCUCUACAGUAGCUUCACAAAGUGCCAACCAUACACAUGGCACCACCUCACACAGGGAAACGCAAAAGGCAUACCUGCUGGCAGCGGGGGUCAUUGUCUGUAUCUAUAUAAUCUGUGCUGUCAUCCUGAUCCUGGGCGUGCGGGAGCAGAGAGAACCCUACGAAGCCCAGCAGGCUGAGCCGAUCGCCUACUUCCGGGGCCUACGGCUGGUCAUGAGCCACGGCCCAUACAUCAAGCUUAUUACCGGCUUCCUCUUCACCUCCUUGGCUUUCAUGCUGGUGGAGGGGAACUUUGUCUUGUUUUGCACCUACACCUUGGGCUUCCGCAAUGAAUUCCAGAAUCUACUCCUGGCCAUCAUGGUCCAUGUUGCCUGAUGUCAUUGACGACUUCCAUCUGAAGCAGCCCCACUUCCAUGGAACCGAGCCCAUCUUCUUCUCCUUCUAUGUCUUCUUCACCAAGUUUGCCUCUGGAGUGUCACUGGGCAUUUCCACCCUCAGUCUGGACUUUGCAGGGUACCAGACCCGCGGCUGCUCGCAGCCGGAACGUGUCAAGUUUACACUGAACAUGCUCGUGACCAUGGCUCCCAUAGUUCUCAUCCUGCUGGGCCUACUGCUCUUCAAAAUGUACCCCAUUGAUGAGGAGAGGCGGCGGCAGAAUAAGAAGGCCCUGCAGGCACUGAGGGAUGAGGCCAGCAGCUCUGGCUGCUCAGAAACAGACUCCACAGAGCUGGCUAGCAUCCUCUAGGGCCCGCCACGUUGCCCGAAGCCACCACGCAGAAGGCCGCGGGAGGGAUCAGGACCUGUCUGCCGGCUUGCUGAUCAGCUGGACUGCAGGUGCUAGGAAGGGAACUGAAGACUCAAGGAGGUGGCCCAGGACACUUGCUGUGCUCACUGUGGGGCCGGCUGCUCUGUGGCCUCCUGCCUCCCCUCUGCCUGCCUGUGGGGCCAAGCCCUGGGGCUGCCACUGUGAAUAUGCCAAGGACUGAUCGGGCCUAGCCCGGAACACUAAUGUAGAAACCUUUUUUUACAGAGCCUAAUUAAUAACUUAAUGACUGUGUACAUAGCAAUGUGUGUGUAUGUAUAUGUCUGUGAGCUAUUAAUGUUAUUAAUUUUCAUAAAAGCUGGAAAACAGCUGCCUGUU